UGGGGAAUAUUGGACAAUGGGCGAAAGCCUGAUCCAGCCAUGCCGCGUGUGUGAAGAAGGUCUUCGGAUUGUAAAGCACUUUAAGUUGGGAGGAAGGGUUGUAGAUUAAUACUCUGCAAUUUUGACGUUACCGACAGAAUAAGCACCGGCUAACUCUGUGCCAGCAGCCGCGGUAAUACAGAGGGUGCAAGCGUUAAUAGGAAUUACUGGGCGUAAAGCGCGCGUAGGUGGUUUGUUAAGUUGGAUGUGAAAUCCCCGGGCUCAACCUGGGAACUGCAUUCAAAACUGACUGACUAGAGUAUGGUAGAGGGUGGUGGAAUUUCCUGUGUAGCGGUGAAAUGCGUAGAUAUAGGAAGGAACACCAGUGGCGAAGGCGACCACCUGGACUAAUACUGACACUGAGGUGCGAAAGCGUGGGGAGCAAACA
RNAcentral lists this ribosomal RNA (427 nucleotides) under uncultured bacterium. Its description in RNAcentral is "partial 16S ribosomal RNA". It matches the Rfam family "Bacterial small subunit ribosomal RNA", at positions 355 to 774 of the family's 1533-position model. The record is from RNAcentral.